AUCCAGCUGACGAAUCCGAAAUAGGACGAAACACGCGUCCUGGAU
This is a non-coding RNA of Schistosoma mansoni, 45 nucleotides long. The record is from Rfam. Lineage: Eukaryota; Metazoa; Platyhelminthes; Trematoda; Strigeidida; Schistosomatidae.